UACGAAGGGUGCAAGCGUUAAUCGGAAUUACUGGGCGUAAAGCGCGCGUAGGCGGUUCAGUAAGUUGGAAGUGAAAUCCCCGGGCUCAACCUGGGAACUGCGUUCAAAACUGCUGAGCUAGAGUACGGUAGAGGGUGGUGGAAUUUCCUGUGUAGCGGUGAAAUGCGUAGAUAUAGGAAGGAACACCAGUGGCGAAGGCGACCACCUGGACUGAUACUGACACUGAGGUGCGAAAGCGUGGGGAGCAAACAGG
This 253-nucleotide ribosomal RNA is filed under the name uncultured bacterium. Its description in RNAcentral is "partial 16S ribosomal RNA". It matches the Rfam family "Bacterial small subunit ribosomal RNA", at positions 524 to 776 of the family's 1533-position model. The record is from RNAcentral.